GGGUCUGGAACAUAGUAAGUCCUCAAUAAGUUCUAGCAAUUAUUAAAAAAGGAAAGGCUGUCUGCAAACAGGUGAUCUCAGAAGGGGGUUUGUGCCUCUCUAGGAAGGAAGCCUCAUUGUGGACAUCUGGGAGCAGGUACAUCCCAGCCUUCUUGCACAUAGAAACACUACACAGCACUUCAGCUGUAUGUUUGGGGGCCAUUUUAAACAGCAAAAUCAUCAACAGGAAGCAGAAAAUUGUAAAAAUUGUGGCACUAAAUAGACCAUGUAAAGGACACAUGUUUGCAAUAAGAAAGCUGAAACAAGAAGGGGGAGUGUCACCUUAUUUGAUCCAGCUAGAAACUCAGGUGCUGGUAUUCCAGCAACACUCAGGCGGCUGCUCCAGGAGGCUGCAGAGGGGUCCUUUUUAGCCGUCAACAAAACUGGCUAUGGUCACGCCCAUUGGGAAACUCAUUGCUGCCUUCAAGGUUCUGUCAAUAGAAGAUACUAAAGAAAGAAAGCCAGGAGAAGAAAAGGGACUUCUUUCUUCAAGGUCUAAGCUGUUCUAAUAGCAUUAUUCUGGGAAUGGCAUCUUCCACUCCUCCUAGUACAAAGAACCUGCUUCCUCAUACCCCGUCAAGGAACUGCAGCAUCCAGGUGAUGGCCACAGUGGCAGAACCUAGGAAGCCAAGAAGAAACCAGAGAAUGGAGACACAUGGCAGCAAUGGCAAGUCAUCAGACCCAGGAUUUCCCAAAGAACACUGGUCCAGGAAGAUGCUCUGUGAAAAAGUGUUCCCUGGUCGGAGAAAUUUGUGAAACACUUUGCAUAAUACUUAAAAGAAUGUAUGGCACAUCAAAGAUCUUAUAACAGUCUCCGCAGGAAGCAGCUGCAGUCAUUAGCCAUAGGACAGACUAAACACACAAUCUGCAUGGAAGGAGGCCUGGAUCAGCUUGGUCUUUCAGAUCUCUAAUCUCAGGCACAGGAAAGCACCAUCAACAGCACCCUUUGUAUAUAUACAUAAAGGUAAUUUAACUUCUCUGAGAUGGAGUUUUUCAUCUGUAAAAUAUGGAUAAUCAUACCUACUUAUGGGGCAACUUUUGAAGAUGAAAUAAAGUAAUAUGUUUAAAAGGCACUUUAAAAAUGGUAAAGUACUACUACUACUAAAAGGGUUAUAAUGAUUUCCAUGAAGAGGAAAACAAGUAAUAAAUAAUUAAGCUGACAUCAAUAAAUGAUUUUUGAAGAGAA
Molecule: long non-coding RNA, 1225 nt
Organism: Homo sapiens (human)
Lineage: Eukaryota; Metazoa; Chordata; Mammalia; Primates; Hominidae
Product: long intergenic non-protein coding RNA 1905
Source: Ensembl